Molecule: ribosomal RNA, 1572 nt
Filed under: Salmonella enterica
Lineage: Bacteria; Pseudomonadati; Pseudomonadota; Gammaproteobacteria; Enterobacterales; Enterobacteriaceae
Description: bacterial LSU rRNA
Rfam family: Bacterial large subunit ribosomal RNA
Source: RNAcentral
GGUGUGUCGUGAGGCAUGCUGGAGGUAUCAGAAGUGCGAAUGCUGACAUAAGUAACGAUAAUGCGGGUGAAAAACCCGCACGCCGGAAGACCAAGGGUUCCUGUCCAACGUUAAUCGGGGCAGGGUGAGUCGACCCCUAAGGCGAGGCCGAAAGGCGUAGUCGAUGGGAAACGGGUUAAUAUUCCCGUACCUGGUGUUACUGCGAAGGGGGGACGGAGAAGGCUAUGUUGGCCGGGCGACGGUUGUCCCGGUUUAAGCGUGCAGGCUGGUUUUCCAGGCAAAUCCGGAAAAUCAAGGCUGAGGCGUGAUGACGAGGCACUACGGUGCUGAAGCAACAAAUGCCCUGCUUCCAGGAAAAGCCUCUAAGCCUCAGGUAACAUCAGAUCGUACCCGAAACCGACACAGGUGGUCAGGUAGAGAAUACCAAGGCGCUUGAGAGAACCCGGGUGAAGGAACUAGGCAAAAUGGUGCCGUAACUUCGGGAGAAGGCACGCUGACACGUAGGUGAAGCGGUUUACCCGUGGAGCUGAAGUCAGUCGAAGAUACCAGCUGGCUGCAACUGUUUAUUAAAAACACAGCACUGUGCAAACACGAAAGUGGACGUAUACGGUGUGACGCCUGCCCGGUGCCGGAAGGUUAAUUGAUGGGGUCAGCGCAAGCGAAGCUCCUGAUCGAAGCCCCGGUAAACGGCGGCCGUAACUAUAACGGUCCUAAGGUAGCGAAAUUCCUUGUCGGGUAAGUUCCGACCUGCACGAAUGGCGUAAUGAUGGCCAGGCUGUCUCCACCCGGGACUCAGUGAAAUUGAACUCGCUGUGAAGAUGCAGUGUACCCGCGGCAAGACGGAAAGACCCCGUGAACCUUUACUAUAGCUUGACACUGAACACUGGUCCUUGAUGUGCAGGAUAGGUGGGAGGCUUUGAAGUGUGGACGCCAGUCUGCAUGGAGCCGUCCUUGAAAUACCACCCUUUAAUGGCUGGUGUUCUAACGUAGACCCGUGAACCGGGUUGCGGACAGUGUCUGGUGGGUAGUUUGACUGGGGCGGUCUCCUCCUAAAGCGUAACGGAGGAGCACGAAGGUUGGCUAAUCCUGGUCGGACAUCAGGAGGUUAGUGCAAUGGCAUAAGCCAGCUUGACUGCGAGCGUGACGGCGCGAGCAGGUGCGAAAGCAGGUCAUAGUGAUCCGGUGGUUCUGAAUGGAAGGGCCAUCGCUCAACGGAUAAAAGGUACUCCGGGGAUAACAGGCUGAUACCGCCCAAGAGUUCAUAUCGACGGCGGUGUUUGGCACCUCGAUGUCGGCUCAUCACAUCCUGGGGCUGAAGUAGGUCCCAAGGGUAUGGCUGUUCGCCAUUUAAAGUGGUACGCGAGCUGGGUUUAGAACGUCGUGAGACAGUUCGGUCCCUAUCUGCCGUGGGCGCUGGAGAACUGAGGGGGGCUGCUCCUAGUACGAGAGGACCGGAGUGGACGCAUCACUGGUGUUCGGGUUGUCAUGCCAAUGGCACUGCCCGGUAGCUAAAUGCGGAAGAGAUAAGUGCUGAAAGCAUCUAAGCACGAAACUUGCCCCGAGAUGAGUUCU